GUUGUUAUAGUUUAUUUAAAACUUUACAUUUUCAUUGUAAGAAUAAGAAAUUUUUCUUUAACAAUA
RNAcentral lists this transfer RNA (66 nucleotides) under Triops longicaudatus. RNAcentral describes it as "tRNA-Glu". The record is from RNAcentral. Lineage: Eukaryota; Metazoa; Arthropoda; Branchiopoda; Notostraca; Triopsidae. RNAcentral also lists the same sequence under 1 other name.